CUUGAGCGGUCGCCAUGGUGGUAUCGGGGACUCGGCCGGCCUCGUUAGCACAGAAGAUCCUCAGUCAUAGUUAACAAAAUGGUAAAAUUAGCUGUGUUUUUAAGAUUCCAGUCGUGGCCAUCAACUGCUCAGGAAAGCAGCCCAGAAUCACUUCACUACAGGUUUUCAAAGGAUCAUCAUUCAUCAGUAGGGUGAUAUUCAUCCUACAGAAGGGUGGGGAAGAGAAGGCUGUUCAAAUUCUGAAAAGCCAGAGCUGCAAAGGAGGUCAAAGAUGCAGUGCAGUUGGCCCACUCAGUAGAGUUUCACUAGUGGUUCUGAUGUGGACUGGGGAUUACACGCUGGAUUGAAGUGGUGGUCUGGAGCAGCUGUAAUUCAUCAUUCGUGCUGAUCGUGGACGAGUAAGAGCCCGCGUUGGCCCCGAUCGGCGAUCGCUGGCCAAAGCCCACCACCAGGUUGGUGAUAGGCGUUGGCUGUGAUAUCUAGGUGUCGCCUAUGUGUGAAUAGGACAAGUUGCUAACAAAACCUGUUGCGCCAUGUUAUUAACCCGCGCCCGGGUGGCCCUCAGCCAACUUGGUGGGGGGGGGGGGGGGGAGGGGAUUCGUAUUCGGCCACACCAGGUUAUCUUGGAAUGUAACAAAGCUGGAAAGACGCAGUAAAAUCAAUAUAUAGCUCGCUAUUUUCCUUCAGAAUCAUACAGGUCAUUUUCGAUCAGGUCAUUGCUAAGGUCACUGGAGGUCACCAAAAGUAAAAUGAUGACGAAUUUUGGCUUUAGAUUUUGACGACUUCACAAAUUGGUUCAUAACUCGGGAACCAAAGAAGCUACAGCGCCGCGGAAAAGCGAAUUCGAUAGCUCUUUCGGAAAUCUUUCAGGUUCUCAGAUUUGAGCUAAGGUCAACUAGGGUUAAACCUCCAAAUGGCAAAAACGGAACAAUCGGCGUGCUUCGGAAAUCGUCUUAUCUUUUAAAACUUUUGAUACCAACCUUUUAUUACGUUGAUUUUACCGGCACUGCGUUUCUCUCGUCUUGUUGACCUAACAAGGUCAACUUAAUAAAUUUGACCUCAGGUCAAAGUCGCAGAAAAUGCCAUAUUGCAUGUCAGUCGAUUCGUUACAUUGAGAUUGUAAUUAACAUCAGUAGCGGCGGAACACCUUCAAUUAAGGGGGCAUUGCCGACUUUUGGUCCCAUUCUUCCCAUGCAACGCCCAUAGGGCUAAUCUUAAAAUGCCAAAAUCAAAGGGGGCACGGUGCUCCGGUGCCCUCCCCGUUCCGCCGCCUAUGAUUAUGAUGUUUUAGCGCUCUGGCCACUUUCCAUCUAAAAUCAAUGUACAAAAAUAAACUGUUGGAGACGUUACAUGACCUGAGAUGACCUCAGGAGCAUACGAUAGAUCCCGACGUUUGAGUGUUUUUGUUUCAAAAGCAGAGCAUUUCGAGUUCCUCAUACUGACUGAAAUUGGAGACGUCGCAAAGUUGACCCGACCCUCGGUCACCGAUAUCAAAAUUAAAGAUACUCAAGAUGUUGGUAGUUGGUACUGAUUCUCUCAUGCAAUAGCUCGAGUUUCAAACUUCUACGUCAUGGUUACCUGACCUGACCUUAGGUGACAUGGGGUUACAUUUUUUUCACAAAUGAAAAAAUGAUGCGAAUCGAUGCAUUAUACAUAAGCUAUACUAAGUUUCGUGUCGUUUUAUUUAUGCAAGCACAAAAUUGUCAGGUGUGGCCAAAAACGCCCCCACCCACCUGGGGGAACGUUAAAGCAGUGAUGUAUUAUUCGGUGUAAUCCACGAUGCAUCGAUCGGUGACGGUGUACUUGAUAAUGCAUUAUUUAUUGCUGCGUGUCUACGAUUUUGCUCUGUUCAGUGUGAUCUGUGAUAGGAAAACUACCGAUAUAUCUCCACGCGCAUGACUGAAAGAGCUGGCAUGAUCCACAAUUUUGCGUGUCUGUUUUUGUUUGGCAUUUCAUAAAUACUGUCAGCUGUGA
This 1974-nucleotide long non-coding RNA is filed under the name Amphibalanus amphitrite. Its description in RNAcentral is "uncharacterized LOC122371215". Lineage: Eukaryota; Metazoa; Arthropoda; Thecostraca; Balanomorpha; Balanidae. The record is from RNAcentral.